GCCUGGCAAGCUCAGCUGGUAGAGCAUGAGACUCUUAAUCUCAAAGUUGUGGGUUCAAGCCCCAUGUUGGGCA
RNAcentral lists this transfer RNA (73 nucleotides) under Cricetulus griseus (Chinese hamster). It matches the Rfam family "tRNA". Rfam says of the family: Transfer RNA (tRNA) molecules are approximately 80 nucleotides in length. Their secondary structure includes four short double-helical elements and three loops (D, anti-codon, and T loops). Lineage: Eukaryota; Metazoa; Chordata; Mammalia; Rodentia; Cricetidae. The record is from Rfam by way of RNAcentral.